GAUGAACGCUGGCGGCGUGCCUAAUACAUGCAAGUCGAGCGAACGGACGAGAAGCUUGCUUCUCUGAUGUUAGCGGCGGACGGGUGAGUAACACGUGGAUAACCUACCUAUAAGACUGGGAUAACUUCGGGAAACCGGAGCUAAUACCGGAUAAUAUUUUGAACCGCAUGGUUCAAAAGUGAAAGACGGUCUUGCUGUCACUUAUAGAUGGAUCCGCGCUGCAUUAGCUAGUUGGUAAGGUAACGGCUUACCAAGGCAACGAUGCAUAGCCGACCUGAGAGGGUGAUCGGCCGCACUGGAACUGAGACACGGUCCAGACUCCUACGGGAGGCAGCAGUAGGGAAUCUUCCGCAAUGGGCGAAAGCCUGACGGAGCAACGCCGCGUGAGUGAUGAAGGUCUUCGGAUCGUAAAACUCUGUUAUUAGGGAAGAACAUAUGUGUAAGUAACUGUACACAUCUUGACGGUACCUAAUCAGAAAGCCACGGCUAACUACGUG
Molecule: ribosomal RNA, 497 nt
Filed under: uncultured bacterium
Lineage: Bacteria
Description: partial 16S ribosomal RNA
Rfam family: Bacterial small subunit ribosomal RNA
Source: RNAcentral